AAGAUUCUCAUUGAGUCCUCAAAGGCUCAUAUAGGUGUUGUAUGUUUGUAGGUAUACCCGAUUUAGGGCCCGAGGAGUGAAGUUGGGAAUCGAGCUCGAGAAUCGGAAGGAGAUCGUAUGGAGGGGUUGUGGAUGGUGUUGGCUCUUAACUUAGUCAUGUGGUUUUAUUUGUAUAAUAUGCUUGUAAAAACUUUUGAUACGGUUUUAGGUAUUUUCUACCGUUCGCUUCCUCCGAUCGGUGGAAUUAUUAAAAGACGAUAUGUG
Molecule: long non-coding RNA, 264 nt
Filed under: Erythranthe guttata (spotted monkey flower)
Lineage: Eukaryota; Viridiplantae; Streptophyta; Magnoliopsida; Lamiales; Phrymaceae
Description: long non-coding RNA (EGUT_LNC002441)
Source: RNAcentral